UUGGUUUGUUACGGGUGGUUGGAUGUCUUCUAGCGAAGCAACUUCCAUGCGUGCUUACCUCUUCAUUUAUGYAGCAAGGCUUGUUUGUCUUGCUCAUAUUGUGGGUUUCCUGUGUUGCGUACCUAAACAAAGGCAUUGUAUGGAUCGAUAUAAGCUGUUUUCRUCAUGCAUCGCACUUGUGGUGUGUGACGGACCAGAAAGAGUUCUCUGUAAUCCAUCUCGUCAUUGUAAACACUUUGAUGAUGUGGCUUGCUGAGUUUCACUUGGAUUCUUGGAUAUUGAACCUAAUGUGGGCAUGGGGUCUUACAUGAUCCUUUUUUGCCCUCGUUUAGCGUUCUCGCUUCUCUAAAACGAUCACUCGUCAUGUGUUGGCAUGUCCAUGCAUGGUGGGUUGCAUCGAAGAGGAAUGCUACCUGGUUGAUCCUGCCAGUAGUCAUAUGCUUGUCUCAA
Molecule: unclassified non-coding RNA, 450 nt
Filed under: Berkheyopsis echinus
Lineage: Eukaryota; Viridiplantae; Streptophyta; Magnoliopsida; Asterales; Asteraceae
Description: Hirpicium echinus partial miscellaneous RNA
Source: RNAcentral